This 507-nucleotide long non-coding RNA is filed under the name Elaeis guineensis (African oil palm). Its description in RNAcentral is "long non-coding RNA (EGUI_LNC060060)". Lineage: Eukaryota; Viridiplantae; Streptophyta; Magnoliopsida; Arecales; Arecaceae. The record is from RNAcentral.
GUUGCCCAGCUAUGCAACCCAAGAGGGGGGGGUGAAUUGGGUUUCUAAAAAAUUUUAAGCCCAACAGAUUACUUAUGAAGAUCAAAACAAAGACUUUAAUUCAAUAUUAAUUACCUAAAGACGAAAUGCAAGAAUAUAAUAAAGAAAUAAAGUGAAGAGAUAAAGCACACCACAAACACAAGGAUUUAUAGUGGUUCGGUGCUAACCUUGCACCUACAUCCACUCCCCAAGAUCCUACUUGGGAAUUUCAAUCCACUAUCCUUUGUAUUCAACCCGAAUACAAAACGUCGGAAACUCCGACACUAGCUAUCCCAAGCUAGAACACUUGUUUCCCGGGUACAAGUAAACCCAAAACACUCCGAUUUCAGGUUCGGAUCAACCUUUCCUUGUUUUGGAAAUCCUCCAAAAACAAGAACAAAAACUCACAAAGAGUUAGAAAAUUUAGAGCACAAAUUAAUACAAUAACAGCUCCUUUAAAUGAGCGAAUAUAACAAUAAAAGCUUUACG